GUUGGAAUGUGCUAAUGGGCAGGAUCUCUGCUGCCUUCCUGUCCCCGAACUCACUGGUGGUUUGCCAUGCAGGAAACUCUCUUCUGAUAACGUUAGGGUCAUUACAAACCCCACCACAGCCUGGGAAAAUCCUGAGUCCCCAUCUCUACCUUGCCUUAAACCCCUCCUCUGUUUCACAACAGCUUGUGGGUCUGGAACGGGGCUGGAACGAGCUGGCCACUGAGAGAGAUUUAUUUCGGUUAAACCCAUGUGAGGAGCCAGAAUGUGAGGAGAGCACACAGCGUUCACCAGGAGCACUCGAAUUAACACAACAACUCAGGCGAUCAGAUCCAGUAUCUCCCGUACGGUCCAUGCUGGAGCUCUUUUUGGAUUUGGGACUGCAUCGCCAUCCAUGCUGAUCAGCGCUCCACGGUGGGCAAACAGGAAAUGAAAUUCAAAAGUUCACAGGGCUUUUCCUGUCUAUCUGGCCAGUGCAUCCAAGUUCAGAUUGCUUUCCAGAGCGGUCACAAUGGUGCACUGUGGGAUACCGGCCAGAGGCCAAUACCGUCGAUUUGCAGCCACACUAACCCUAAUCCGACAUGGCAAUACCGAUUUCAGCGCUACUCCCCUCGUCGGGGAGGAGUACAUAAACCGGUUUAAAGAGCCCUUUAUAUCGAUAUAAAGGGCCUCGUUGUGUGGAUGGGUGCAGGGUUAAAUCAGUUUAAAGCUGCUAAAUUCGAUUUAAACGCGUAGUGUAGACCAGGCCAAAGAGAACAAGGGCCGUGAAGAGAGACAGCUCAAACUGGGAAGGUUUGGUCACAGCCAGCACUCCAGAGCUCCCUCCUGACAGCUUACUGUUAUGGCUGUAUCUGUCACGGUAGCGUGGCUGCCAGCGGAAGGGCUAGGGGAUAAAACAGAUUAGCAGAGCAGCUGCAUGAGAGGGGAAAGGAAAGAACCACCAGCUAAUUACACCAUCCCCCCUGUUGCAGUAAAUCCAAUAGGGCCAUUGUGGGCCCCAGUCAGCACCUGCGUUCUCAGGAGUUGGGUGAACUUUUUACCCACUUGGGGGGGUGGCUGAGUGGGUGGAACAAACCAGCCCAGGUUGGGAUGAUGCCAUUCCAGGGUGAGAGUGUUUGCCGGGGGUUCAGUGCAGGGAUUUCUUGUGUAUCGGGCAAGAGGAGACUUGGCAGCUGUGGAUCAACAAGAUGACCAGGGUGAAGAGUGCGAUAGUGCAUUGCAAGGCCAAAGGCCGGGCCUGGUGUUUUCUCUUGGGAGCAGGGGAUAUCGGGGUAGUGACCGUGUUCUGUGUUUCAGAUUGUUCAAUGUGACUAACAAAGUUGUAACCAACCAUGGUACAAUUAAGGACAAGGCCUCUGAAUCUGCAUGUGUAACACACUUGUAAAGUCUGUGUCAUAUCCCCGCGUUGCUGCUGAUCAUUAAUGUCCUAGAUACCAUGCUGUGCAGGGCCCAUCAAAAAUGUCAAAUUCUGUUUUUUCAAUGACAAGUUUAAAUUUUCCAUGUGGAAAAAAAACAUAUUCUGACCAGUCCUGGUACUCUGCUCCUACCCUUUGUGACGCUGGCAAACCAGAAAAGUCCCAGGCCACAGGCCAAUUCACCUGUGUUAGUGUAGAUCAAGGCGAUUGUUAAUGUAUAAGUGUGCAUUCAGAUGUUUAAACUUUAUGAAAACAUAUAUAUCAUUACUUGAAUUGUUCUCACUUAUCUUGUCCUAUUAUAAUGCAACAGCAAACAUUUACAUUUGUGUAUAACUCUGUACCUAAAUUGCCCACCAAAGAAAGCUUGUGAAAUGAAAGGACUUAAGGUCUUUAACAGAAAAUGAUACUUUCAAAACAAGUGGCCAUUGUGUGUGAUGAUCCAGGUCAAGGACUCUUAGUGCAUUCCUCAGUAUCAGUCAUCAAAGAAAAAACCCACAGGGGUACAGACACUGCCAGUUUUCUUUCUGCAUAAAGACACUAUUAAUAUGAAUUCAAAGAAAGAUCCUUUAUCUCUGGACUGCUUGAAUUCUAACAGGGCAAAAUAACUGAAUGAGAACAUGUAGAUCCCCAGUAUUAUUCUGGGUAGCUCUGGAAAAGACUCCUGAGAAACUAGCAAUUUAUUAAUCACUGCCACCACUUGGAAUUCCAAACUGUGAUGCACCUGUUGUUAUAUUUUACCUGCUUUAACUGCUCAAUAAUUCUCGUUCUUUUUUCUCAGCUAAUAAACCUAUAGUUAGUUAACUAUACAA
Long non-coding RNA from Gopherus flavomarginatus (Mexican gopher tortoise), 2221 nucleotides. RefSeq lists it as uncharacterized. The transcript has 2 exons. Lineage: Eukaryota; Metazoa; Chordata; Testudines; Testudinidae. The record is from RefSeq and is a predicted model, not a curated record.